GAAAUUCUUCCCUAACAAUGGAAGGGAAUUUGUAUGUAUUCAGAUCUCCUGGGUAACUCUCAUCUAUGAGUUCUGCAUUUGGGUUAUUAUCGCCCAAAGGAAACGUGUCUCUGACAUAAAUCACGUGAAUGACAUUACUGGCGAUUACCUGCACACGAAUAUGAGAAAGCUUUAUCCAAUCACUUCAUGGUAAUUAUCUGGUAAGAGUUGUAUUCGUUAAAUUUUAAUUCCUUUUGCGUUUUAUUAUUUUCUAAGACCGCCUUACCAUUGUCUUCGCUUCAUUAUGCAACAUAUUAAUCUUGGGCGAGGUUUCUUGCUAUUGUUUUAUUCAUACAUUGCC
This 340-nucleotide long non-coding RNA is filed under the name Spirodela polyrhiza (greater duckweed). Its description in RNAcentral is "long non-coding RNA (SPOL_LNC002025)". The record is from RNAcentral. Lineage: Eukaryota; Viridiplantae; Streptophyta; Magnoliopsida; Alismatales; Araceae.